RNAcentral lists this non-coding RNA (1777 nucleotides) under Pongo abelii (Sumatran orangutan). Lineage: Eukaryota; Metazoa; Chordata; Mammalia; Primates; Hominidae. The record is from RNAcentral.
ACUUUGCUGGCAGCAGAUCUUAGCGGAGAGAAGCACGGGGAGGGUGACGUGUGGUACAGAGCAGGAACGAUGGCUCUGCGCGCGAUAGCAGCAGACAAAGGUUGCCAUGGCAAGCCUGCUCGGGAGCAUGCCACGUAGACCGAUGCCCACAAGUCCACCUCGCUCCAAGUCACAGACAAGGUCCCUUGUGUAUAGGUACCGUGUCCCCACCCCGGGAUCCCACCACGGCCAGGACCCCUUCCCGAGGUGCAUCCGGACACUCACCCAGGAGAAGCCGAUGCAGCCAAUGGCCCCGCACAGCAUGUCUGCUAGCAUGGCCGGGUACGAGCUGGCAGUGGGGAAGUAGGCGAAGAAGUAGGGGCUGUGCCAGUGCGUCACCUGCAUGGGAGGACGGAGCAGCUGCUGAGGAACGAGGAAAGCCAGGCCUCAAGAGAGCAGGGGACCCAGGUACCCCCAUGGCCCCCAGCUGCCAGAUGCAGCCAGACCCAGAGUUAGGUCUGGCUCAGAAUCCCAGCAGCAGAGGAUAUGCUCUAUCGGGCUUGGCUGCUCUGCUCUGAAUGGAGGACGGAACCGAUAAAGACAAAGCGCCCGGGGCCCAGGAGAGUAAGAGCAGCCCUGCGGCUGACUAGCCCCUCAGCACCUGGAGGGCCCAUGUGCCUUUGUCUCUCUCCCCUUCCUGUGGUUUCUGGGCUGGAAAAGGACAGAAGCGAUUCUUGAUUAGGUACAGAUGUGUGCUCUUUUGCUUCACUCUCCGCUGAUAUUCACAGCAACUUUUGAGAUGGCUGGGCCUGCACUUGCUCCGCUCACGGCUCGAGAGCUCACCUGGUUUCCUGUGAUCACACAGCCAGCAGCUCGUGGGCUGCAGCUCCCACCCAGGGACCCUGCCCAACGCCUGUGCAUUUCCCAGCUCAGCUCUGCGCAGUGAAUACCCCCAUAGAAGGAAGCAGAAAGACUUCAAAUCCUCCCUCAGUCUCCUGUACUCCCCACUGCCUGACAUUUAGCCACUCCUCUCCUGAAGCGUUUUAUGCUGAACAGCUUAGUGUAUUUGCACAAUUUCUAGCAAGAACCUGAAUCCCGUUCUUUGCUCAAAGCAUAAAUGCCAAGUGAGAAUCCCCUGGAAGAAGAAAUGUGAGCAGUGUGGUGAGAGAGGCGCUCAGCUACUGAGAAACCGGUCCCUGAGGUCCAGGGCCUGAAGCCUAGCCUCAACCCAUGAUCAGUGGCCUGUAACCUUGGCUGACCUUAUGCCUUCCCAAGGCCUUGGCAUUCUGUCUGGAUUGAGGGAGUGGGUCUUGAUGGUCCCGGACCCCUCUUCUAUGAAAAUCAUAUGUCGUUGCUCAUAGGCCUUACAACCACAGACGUGCUGGGUCGUGGCAGCGAUCAACCAGUGGAGCCCACGGAGAUUUUCCCUGCCUGGACUCUGCACAUUGUUGCAUGGAAGGGCAGGUUUGGCCACCCUCAUAAACAUUCCUGAUCUAGAAACUGGCCGGGCUGCAACUCCCACCCGGACCCUGACUAGGCCAGAGCCACUUUAACCAACAGGCUUUUAGGUGAACUCCUUGGCAGAGAAGAUCUACCGUGGAAGCGUAAAGCUGAAGGGAAGUUUCUCUGAGCUCCAACUCUGCUGCCCUGUGAGUGAGUAUCGGAGACAGCAGCCAGUCCCGUUGAUUUCUGCCCUCUGUGUACCCCAGGCCUACUGGCUUCAGAGAAAGAGGGCUGCCUUGGUGGGCAGUACCACGCUGCCCACUCUCAAAUAAACUAAAUAAAACGUUUCUUCCAC